GAUGAAGAACGUAGCGAAAUGCGAUACGUAAUGUGAAUUGCAGAAUUCAGUGAAUCAUCGAGUCUUUGAACGCACAUUGCGCCCUUUGGUAUUCCGAAGGGCAUGCCUGUUCGAGCGUCAUUAUCACCCCUCAAGCCCUCGGCUUGGUGUUGGACGGUUUGGUGGAGGCCCCCUCGGGGGCUCCUGCCCCUCCCAAAGACAAUGACGGCGGCCUCGUUGGACCCCCGGUACACUGAGUUCUUCACGGGACACGUAUCGGACACAUGGGUUUACGGGACACGGUCUGCCUCCCCUCAGGGAGAAUCUUUCUAAGGUUGACCUGAUCAGGUAGGGAUACCCGCUGAACUUAAGCAUAUCAAUAAGCGGAGGA
This 370-nucleotide unclassified non-coding RNA is filed under the name soil metagenome. RNAcentral describes it as "partial contains 5.8S ribosomal RNA, internal transcribed spacer 2, and large subunit ribosomal RNA". The stretch from base 1 to 120 matches the Rfam family "5.8S ribosomal RNA", at positions 35 to 154 of the family's 154-position model. The record is from RNAcentral.